RNAcentral lists this transfer RNA (87 nucleotides) under bacterium. RNAcentral describes it as "tRNA-Leu". It matches the Rfam family "tRNA". Rfam says of the family: Transfer RNA (tRNA) molecules are approximately 80 nucleotides in length. Their secondary structure includes four short double-helical elements and three loops (D, anti-codon, and T loops). Further hydrogen bonds mediate the characteristic L-shaped molecular structure. tRNAs have two regions of fundamental functional importance: the anti-codon, which is responsible for specific mRNA codon recognition, and the 3' end, to which the tRNAs corresponding amino acid is attached (by aminoacyl-tRNA synthetases). tRNAs cope with the degeneracy of the genetic code in two manners: having more than one tRNA (with a specific anti-codon) for a particular amino acid; and 'wobble' base-pairing, i.e. permitting non-standard base-pairing at the 3rd anti-codon position. The record is from RNAcentral. RNAcentral also lists the same sequence under 1 other name.
GGGUAGGUGGUGGAAUUGGUAUACACGCAGCCUUGAGGUGGCUGUGGGCGCAAGCCUGUGCAGGUUCAACUCCUGUCCUACCCACCA